UGAGUAACACGUGGGAAACCUGCCCAGAAGCGGGGGAUAACACCUGGAAACAGAUGCUAAUACCGCAUAACAACUUGGACCGCAUGGUCCGAGUUUGAAAGAUGGCUUCGGCUAUCACUUUUGGAUGGUCCCGCGGCGUAUUAGCUAGAUGGUGGGGUAACGGCUCACCAUGGUAAUGAUACCUAGCCUACCUGAGAGGGUAAUCGGCCACAUUGGGACUGAGACACGGCCCAUACUCCUACGGGAGGCAGCAGUAGGGAAUCUUCCACAAUGGACGAAAGUCUGAUGGAGCAACGCCGCGUGAGUGAAGAAGGGUUUCGGCUCGUAAAACUCUGUUGUUAAAGAAGAACAUAUCUGAGAGUAACUGUUCAGGUAUUGACGGUAUUUAACCAGAAAGCCACGGCUAACUACGUGCCAGCAGCCGCGGUAAUACGUAGGUGGCAAGCGUUGUCCGGAUUUAUUGGGCGUAAAGCGAGCGCAGGCGGUUUUUUAAGUCUGAUGUGAAAGCCUUCGGCUCAACCGAAGAAGUGCAUCGGAAACUGGGAAACUUGAGUGCAGAAGAGGACAGUGGAACUCCAUGUGUAGCGGUGAAAUGCGUAGAUAUAUGGAAGACACCAGUGGCGAAGGCGGCUGUCUGGUCUGUAACUGACGCUGAGGCUCGAAAGUAUGGGUAGCAACAGGAUUAGAUACCCUGGUAGUCCAUACCGUAAACGAUGAAUGCUAAGUGUUGGAGGGUUUCCGCCCUUCAGUGCUGCAGCUAACGCAUUAAGCAUUCCGCCUGGGGAGUACGGCCGCAGGCUGAAACUCAAAGG
This 812-nucleotide ribosomal RNA is filed under the name Lactiplantibacillus plantarum. RNAcentral's name for it is "bacterial SSU rRNA". It matches the Rfam family "Bacterial small subunit ribosomal RNA", at positions 107 to 907 of the family's 1533-position model. The record is from RNAcentral. Lineage: Bacteria; Bacillati; Bacillota; Bacilli; Lactobacillales; Lactobacillaceae.